UACGAGGGGUGCAAGCGUUGCUCGGAAUUAUUGGGCGUAAAGAGCUCGUAGGCGGCCAGUUGCGUCUGCUGUGAAAUCCCGGGGCUCAACCCCGGGCGUGCAGUGGAUACGGGCUGGCUAGAGGCAGGCAGGGGAGAACGGAAUUCCCGGUGUAGCGGUGAAAUGCGCAGAUAUCGGGAGGAACACCGGUGGCGAAGGCGGUUCUCUGGGCCUGUACUGACGCUGAGGAGCGAAAGCGUGGGGAGCGAACAGG
RNAcentral lists this ribosomal RNA (253 nucleotides) under uncultured bacterium. RNAcentral's name for it is "partial 16S ribosomal RNA". It matches the Rfam family "Bacterial small subunit ribosomal RNA", at positions 524 to 776 of the family's 1533-position model. The record is from RNAcentral.